CCUUCGAUAGCUCAGUUGGUAGAGCGGUGGACUGUAGAGUUUGAGUGUGAGUCACACCAAAGUAGUAAUCCAUAGGUCGCUGGUUCAAAUCCGGCUCGAAGGA
RNAcentral lists this transfer RNA (103 nucleotides) under Culex quinquefasciatus (southern house mosquito). It matches the Rfam family "tRNA". From Rfam's summary of the family: Transfer RNA (tRNA) molecules are approximately 80 nucleotides in length. The record is from Rfam by way of RNAcentral. Lineage: Eukaryota; Metazoa; Arthropoda; Insecta; Diptera; Culicidae.